This 9235-nucleotide long non-coding RNA is filed under the name Sarcophilus harrisii (Tasmanian devil). Its description in RNAcentral is "lncRNA (ENSSHAG00000022600.1)". The record is from RNAcentral. Lineage: Eukaryota; Metazoa; Chordata; Mammalia; Dasyuromorphia; Dasyuridae.
UUCAUCUUUCCUUGCCUUUUUUUCUCACUUCCCACAGCAGAGGAAACUUGCCAGACAAGAAUAGGAAAGUCCCAACAUCACCACUUUCUGAUCAACUUUCCUUUCUUCUAGCCUCACAACAUUUUUCUCCCAUUCUAUCCCCACUUGAGACAAAAGUCUCAAAAAUCCUUUCAUAUUACCAGGAGGAAAGACAAACUUCAUUCUUUGGCUAGAAUGGAUUCACUUGGCAUUGUCCUAAUAAAUCUGCCUUUGAAGCUGACGAAUCAUGUAUGUAUUCAAUCUUUCCUUCUUUCCUCUUUAUCAAUUGCCAUGGAAUUUGUAAAGAGUACUUUGAACCAAGUCUUCCCUUACUUCCAGUCACCCUAACCCUCCCUCAUAGCUUGCAAUUUCACACCUUUAUAUUUAUUUCCUCUAUUUCAAGAACCCAAUCCCGUUGCUUUCAAGGUUCAUUUUAGAAUUUUCCUUGUAGAUUUGACUUUUGCAUCUGAAUAUCAGGACUGUCCUUUCUCAUUUGGAGCUGCCUUUAACUCCUUGAUCAAUUGCCUUGGCCAACAUGGGAAUGUUACUCUGAAACACAAUGCUUUCCUCUGCCUUUGACCUAAACCCUGCAGUGUUCCUGGAGAGCGCUUUCAUGACACCUGCUCAAAGUCAUGCUCUUUUUUUUCUCAGACACCUAAUGCUGUGCAGUUGGUUCCUUUUCUUUUCCAACUUUUUCUCUUUCUACCUUGUGGCCUUAAAUUCUACAGACAAAUGCUGCCAAAAUCCACACAGUUUCUGGUUUGCUGAUACCAGCCAAGGGCUCCUGGUGCUCUCAGCUACUGUUUCCCUCUACCUCAGCACCACUUGAUCAGUUCCCUGAAAAAGAUUCCAGGCAAGGCUUACAUGUAGCAGAUUUUCUCUGGCUCUUCCUGUACUCCCAACAAGUCUCGCCUAGCUAAAAAAAAUUAUUUGAGUUUCUCUGCCCUUUCUGAAUAGGGCACAGAGGCCAUUGCAUAUCUUCCCAAUGUUCUUCAGUGUUGACCUUUCAGUUCUGCAAACUGGGAAUUUGUAGAAACUCAGAUGCCUGCCCAUUAACCAAACAACCCUACUACACUACACACAAUUUUCAAGGUGCAAGUGGGCAAACACUCCACCUGAAGGACUCCAUAUAGCAUACGAGAGUGGUGGUCUCAUGAUAUUCAUGCUAGUUAGAGGCCGGCUCAGAAAUUUCUGCACAGACAAGGAGCAGUAGUCUCACCUGGUCUGGAUGAAGCAGGCUCUGUCAACUCUGUCUAUAUCUAAGGGGAAAAAAGCAGUAAACAUGCAAUAUGAUGUGCCUUGAAAAGCGAGAAAAGUCUCAGUAAGAAACCAAUAGGCUUCCUCAAUUACACUCAAAAUCUGACCUGUCCCACUCUUUCCCACACAAGGAACAGGAUUCUAUGUGUUCUCCAAACUCAUGUUCUAGCUGCUAAGAAAUCAGGACAGUCUAGAGAAAACUUCCUUAUAUGCCCCAUCAUCUCCCAAAUGGGGAUGGGAACAUUGGGAAUUUGGGUCCAUUUGAAGAAGACCAUGCUAUUUUUUAGUCAUUUCCUCCCAGAGGAUUUUGUUCAGAUGAGGAAUUAGCUAAUCUCAAGGUUAUUUUUGAUGUUUGCUAGAUCUACACUUUCCACCUUGUAAUAGCCCCCAAGAAUAGAAAUUGGUACAUUAUUUCUCUUCAUAGAUAAAAGCUGUUGAAUAAUGUCUACCUCCCAAUGAAACUGGCGAUGAACUUUUGAAAAUCCGCAUCAGAUUGCUACCUAAUCUAUGCCAAACAGUAAUUGGAUAGACACUUUAGAAGCAUAUUAGGGAUUAUCCAAUUAUUUUUCUAAGUGUUCACUUCAACAUUCUCUCUACUUUUAGAAUCCUUCGUUGGACUCCAGAAUAAAAGACUGAAUCGAUUUUGGUAGUGGGGGAUGGGUUCCUUUUCCUUCCCAUCUAUUUUUCUUUCUACCUAAUGACCUUAAAACUCUACAGACAACUGCUGCCAAAAUCUACCCAGUCCCUGGCUUGCUGAUAACAGUCUAGUCCUCCAGUUGGUCUCAGCUACUGUUUCCCUCUACCUCAGCACCACUCAAUCAGUUCUCCAAAAACGAUUCCUGUCAAGACUGACAUUUGCAGAUUCUCCCUGGCUCUUGCACUGCUCCCAACAUGUCUCACCUAGACAAAAAAUUGGAUUAGUUGCUCUACCCUCUCUGAAUAGGGCACAGAGGCUAUUUCCUGUCUUCACAAUGAGAUUCAAUGUUGACCCUUCAAUUCUACAAAUUGGGAAUUUGUAGAAACACAGCUGCUUACCCAUUAACCAAACAAUCAUACUACACCACACACAAUUUUCAGGUGCAACUGGGCAAACACUCCACCUGGAGGACUCAUGAUAUUGAUGAGAGAAAUGCAAAUUAAGAUAAUUCUUUGGUACCAGUAUACAUCUCUCAGGUUGGCUAAAAUGACAGCAAAAGAUAUGGAUGAAUGUUGCAGGGGGCUGUGGGGAAAACUAGGACACUAAUAAAUGGUAAGUGGAGUUGUAAAAUGAUCCAACCAUUCUGGAGAGCAAUUUAGAAUAAUGUCCAAAGGGCUAUCAAACUGUGCAUACCCUUUAAUCCAGCAGUGUUUCUACUGGUCUUGUAUCCUCAAGAGAUUCUAAAGAAGGGAAACGGACCUACAUGUGCAAAACUGUUUGUGGCAUCCCUUUAGGUACUGACAAGCAACUGGAAACAGAGUGGAUUCCUAUCAGAUGGAGAAUGUCUGAAUAAUUUAUAGUAUAAGAAUAUCUGGGAAUAUUAGUGUUCUGUAAGAAAAGAGCAGCAGAAUGAUUUCAGAGAUGGCUGGAGAAACUUACAUGAACUGAUGCUGAGAGAAGUGAAUAGAAUCAGGAAAACAUUGUACACAGCAAGUUUAUAUGAUGACAAUUCUAAUGGACAUGGCUCUUUUCAAGAAUGAAGUGAUUCAAGCCAGUUUCAAGGGUCUUGUAAUGAAGAAAGCAAUCUGCACACAGAGAGGAGACUGUAGGGACUUAGUGUGAAUGACAAAAGCAUUUUCACUUUUGUUGUUGUUUGAAUUUUGUAUUCUUUCUCAUUUUUUUUUCCUUUUUGAUCUGAUUUUUCUUGUGGAACAUGGUGAUUGUGGAAAUAUAUAUAGAAGAAUUGCAAAUAUUUAACAUAUAUUGAAUUAUUUGCCAUUCACAGGAGGGUGUAAGGGGAAAGGAGGGAAAAAUAUUAGAACACAUUUGUCAAGAGUAAAUGUUCAAAACUGUUUAUGCAUGUCUUGAAAACAAAAAGCUUUCAUAAUAAAAUAUGAUAAUUUAAAAAAAACAAUGAGGGCAGCAAGCUCAUCAUCCUUGGAAAAUAUUGAGGUGGCAAUAGUUUAAGCCCUUCAGAGAGAGGUUUUGGUGCCACAACUUGAAGCAGAAGGGAGGGAGAUACAGGUUGAAGAGCUCGGAUACUAUUCUGUAUUUGCAAGUUGAUAGCUCUGCCAGUCCAUUUCCACCUUCUCUGUUCUAUGGUUUCAGGGUUCUUGCUUUUCCCAGAAGGGGGAUAAUUGUCAGAGUUAUACUUCAUGCAGCAAACUUCUUCCGAGCUUGUAGGCUUUGACAUGACAAAGUACUUUGGAAAGCAUUUUGUCUCUGUUAUAGACCCAUUCUAAACAUUCAGAUCUCUGCUCAAAAAUGUUGACCUCUAAAGCAACAGGUCUCUACUAUGCUGUAACUAUAUCAAGGCUAAUCAGGUUCCAGACUAGAUCUCCUACAUCCAAAAAACCUUUGUCCCCAACUGAGAUGUUAAGAAAUUAUCCAUUUCUUACUUUCUCUGCUCUUUUCAAUACCCAUCUUUGCAGCAGACUUUGCAGCAGUCUUUGGACAAUACCACCCACAUUUGGAAGGUUUUUCCCCUUUCUUGCUCCUUUGAGAUAUGAAGAAAUUGCCUCUAAAUUGCUUCUGUUUUUUCAGAAUAACCAAAUUCACUUUUCAAGGUCACCUCCCUAACACUGAUGUGCUAUAUAAAGACAUCCCAUCUAAAACUUGAAUAAUGUUUGAAGAGUCAUGUGGGUCUUUCUUUGAGCAGCUCCUUCACUGAGUCAGUCAGUAGGUAAAGUCCAUGUACUGGUUAGUACUUCUCAGCUUCUUGUUUCAAAAGGUUCGAUCUGGCGAACGGUUCCCAAAUAUUCCUUCUCUGAGCUCCGAGUUGGCUCUAACCAGGACUGAUUCCUGCUCAUCAAGAGGCUGCCCAGUCAUUGUUUGGGGUGGGGGAAGGAGGAGCUCGAGGAAGGUUCUGGGAAGGGGAGGAGCAGCCAGUUUGCUGGUCUCGCAUCUGGUUGGGCGCCAUUUCUUGAGUCGGGGGCCACUGACAUCUCGAGGAACUCCGUCCGACUCUCUGGGAUUCUUCCCCAAGCGGGAGACUUCGAUGCUGAACUCAGCAGAUCAGCCCGUGAAAAGGUCCAUAGUCAGACACUAAGGAGCAGAUCUGGAGAAUCGACACUUGCCUUCCUGGACCUGGCAGCAGGGGAGGGCAAUGUGGAAAUGUUCGACAGCAGCCUGAAAGGUAACAUAGAAGCUGGAGGUGGCUGGUGGAGAAAUUUAACAUGCCAGUUUCUCAGUCUAGAAAUGUUAGUAAGAAGCAACAACAGCAACUUAAUAGGUAAAAGAACAAGGAUCAGAGUCCCUCGAUGAAGAUUGCUCCCAAGAAAAAGGGCAUUCUUAUCUUUCAUCUGCAACUGUGUGGCACUGUCCAAAGUGGGGGGAAGAAUGGGCCUUUCCCAAAUAAUCAAAAUUGCAAUUCCAGCUUAGUGAGCUCCAAUUUAUUUUUGAAAUCCCAAACUAAUCAGAACUACUGCCUGAGCCAAAUUUACCGAGCCUACCAAGUGUUGUGCCUCAACCUCCCAGCCACUGGGUUCCAGUUUCCUUCAGUCCUUCUGAUAAUGGCCUUUCAACUGAAAACCUUACUCAAGUCAAGUUGUGAUGUGAGGUAAUCAGAUUGGUGAUGUUUAAGUGUUUAGGGCUUCAGACAUUUGAGAGGACUGAGCUGGGAUCUGUUUCUAAACAUGGUAGAGAAUUUGUCUUUCAUCUAUAUAGAGCAGCUUACUGAUUCUAAUGGGCAAUAUUUGAUGUAAAAUUUCACCAUGUUUAUGUUGUGUGUGUGUGUGUCUGUGUGUGUGUGCUUGUCUGCCCAUUCAUUGUCAUGUGACUAAGGAGAGAGAUGGCAGUAUUAGAUGGCAGUUUGAAAUCAGUUACUGGAAUGUUUGGGCUUGAUGUCAACUGUUCUUAAUUGAAUGGCUGCUCUUCAAUUUUGAACUUGAAAUCAUGGUUUCGAUUGGAAAGGAGGAUUUAUGGUACAGACAUAUAUAUAUAUAUAUAUAUAUAUAUAUAUAUAUAUAUGUGGGCUAUUUUUAGAGAAAUAAAUUUAAGUAUUAUUUAUUUAUAGGCAAAACAGUAGUGCAGUGAACAUUUAAUGUGAGGUAACAGCAGACUUAUUAUUUAUGGAAAAACAAGCUGAAAUCAUUUAGCUUUCACUGUGGCUAUGGUAAAGGACUGGUUGAAUAUCAGGCAGUUCUAAUCUAAUAGCAAACUAUUGUAACUGUAAUCACAACGGAAUGACAAACUGUCAUAUCGAAUGUGAGCUUCUGGGAUAGAUGAUUGAUAGGAAUCCUUCCUUGGCUAUGUGACUUAAGGAGAGAGAUGGCAGUAUUAGAUGGCAGUUUGAAAUCAGUUACUGGAAUGUUUGGGCUGAUGUCAACGUUCUUAAUUGAAUGGCUGCUCUUCAAUUUUGAACUUGAAAUCAUGGUUUGGAUUGGAAAGGAGGAUUUAUGGUACAGAUAUAUAUAUAUAUAUAUAUAUAUAUAUAUAUAUAUAUAUAUAUGUGGGCUAUUUUUAGAGAAAUAAAUUUAAGUAUUAUUUAUUUAUAGGCAAAACAGUAGUGCAGUGAACAUUUAAUGUGAGGUAACAGCAGACUUAUUAUUUAUGGAAAAACAAGCUGAAAUCAUUUAGCUUUCACUGUGGCUAUGGUAAAGGACUGGUUGAAUAUCAGGCAGUUCUAAUCUAAUAGCAAACUAUUGUAACUGUAAUCACAACGGAAUGACAAACUGUCAUAUCGAAUGUGAGCUUCUGGGAUAGAUGAUUGAUAGGAAUCCUUCCUUGGCUAUGUGACUUAAGGAGAGAGAUGGCAGUAUUAGAUGGCAGUUUGAAAUCAGUUACUGGAAUGUUUGGGCUUGAUGUCAACUGUUCUUAAUUGAAUGGCUGCUCUUCAAUUUUGAACUUGAAAUCAUGGUUUGGAUUGGAAAGGAGGAUUUAUGGUACAGAUAUAUAUAUAUAUGGGCUAUUUUUAGAGAAAUAAAUUUAAGUAUUAUUUGUUUAUAGGCAACACAGUAGUGCAGUGAACAUUUAAUGUGAGUUAACUAACAGCAGACUUAUUAUUUUUGGAAAAACAAGCUGAAAUCAUUUAGCUUUCACUGUGGCUAUGGUAAAGGACUGGUUAAAUAUCAGGCAGUUCUAAUCUAAUAGCAAACUAUUGUAAUGUAACUGUAAUCACAAUGGAAUGACAAACUGUCAUAUGGAAUGUGAGCUUCUCGAAUAGAUGAUUGAUAGGAAUCCUUCCUUGGCUAUGAAUGAGAUAAAGGUUGGAUAAGGAGGGGAAUGCUAAUCAACAAGUUGGUACCAGAAUCAAAAGGAUUUAUGAUUGAUGAUGGCAUAUGGGGAAGGACCAAGAUUUGGUAGGGCAGAAGACAUUGCCCUGUUACAUGCCUCAUCCCUUAAGGGUUACUGGCUUUUGUGGAGGAGAUAUGUCUGAUUAUUCUUUAGACACUCAUUCUUUGUUGCUCCAAGGUCAGGAACAGACAAAAGUAGUAGUGUUAUUUUUGGUCAGGAAAAUGUAGCAAAAAUUUUCUUAAAAGAAAUUGGAAUCUUUAUUCAGUGUUUGACAUAUUGGCAUACUGUUAAAAGCUUUCAAAAUGCAUCAGGGCCCUGAAAAAGUGACAAAAUUCAUCUGGCUUCAAAUAGUGGAUGUCUAUGAGAGUCCUAAAAUAGGGUAAGGUUGUAAAUGACCUAGGAAAAGGGAGAGCCAUGUUAAAUAAAUGUAAAAUUUGUGCAUACAUAAAUUUUUCCUGGCCUUUUAAUUAAUUUUACUUUUAAUUAAAAAUUGUUAAAUGUAAGAUAGAUCACAGACUGAACUAAGUCAUGGUCUACCUAGUUUUAAAGGGAUCAAAUCCUUUUCUUCUUCUUCUUCUUCUUUUUUUUUUUUUUUUUUAAGAAGCUUGCUUUUUAAGUUCUUUGUUAGUGCUUAUACAUGCUUGAUUCAGUUCUGAAUUGUAUUGCAAGAGAUGAUUCAGGGCAAUUAGGAAAUAAAUCAGAAAUGUGAAGCUACAUUAAUAGUGAUCUUAUAUUGAAACAUAAAGGAAAUGUUUGAAUAAGAAUCAUUGAAGGAGACCUAAUUAUUUUUUAAAAAACCAAAACAAUAAAAGGGGUUAAGGUAUUGAUUUUGAUUGAAAGAUGGUUUUUUACCAAAGGGCAAUUUCUCAAACAGAAAACAAGGUGUUCCCUUUGGCCUUUUUCCAUCAAACAAAAUUCAAUUAUUUAAGAAAAGCAUUUGUAAAAUUGUGCAGUUAGGAUAGUGGCUCUUAGAUGGUAAAUUUAAAAAAUGUUUCCUUCAGUAUAUGUCACAUUAGCUAUUCUACUUUCAACAAGUAAAUUGUCAGUGAAUGUAUAUUUCCCCCUUGCUACACACAACCCAUAUAUACAGUGUCAUUCAAAUCUUAUCUGAAGAACCUUGGAUUAUGAAUACUAUAAAAGAUGAUGAUGAUUGUUGGACUUUUUCCUUCUCAAGUCCUGAAUUCCUUACUUUGCUUUCUUUAUAUUCUCUUUUCCUUAUUUUUCUUCUACUUAAAGAUAUAAAAAAUAAAUGUUUUCCUUCCUUUUCUAACUAUUCUACUUUAUUUUUACUGACUUUAUAACUCUUAAAUCUGCAAUAUAUCACUUGUCUGUAAUAUCUGCUUCUCAGUAACUACCAUUACAAUUCCUUCAGUCUGUGUAAAUUCUAUGGACUUGCGAAAAUUUUAAAGAGAUUUUAAAAAAUUUUAAAGAGUAACUCUUUCUUGUAGGAAAAUGAUUCCCAGUCAUAAGAUGAACACAAAAGAAAAUAGUUUAAUUCCAUCGAGAUUGUGUUAACUGUACAAAUAGAAAUGACCACUAGAUAGAAGAUGAUUUCCAGCUAGAAGGAUGUAUCAGGAAGCAUUCAUGGAGUGCUUGUAAUUGCCCUCAAAGGAAGGACAACGAUUGCAGAAGGGAGAAAAGAGAACCGUAAUAUAGGGAGAAAUGCCGGGGUAGAUAUCACACCUAUAGAGGUGAUAGUGAAAAAGAGUCCAAAGACAUUUGGGAAAAAUCAAUGGCAGGUUGAUGAAGUCUUAGUUUGCAAAAUGGCAUCAUGGGAGUAAGACUGGAAAUACCAGCAAAUAUGACAUCUGUUAAGGUGUCAAUCUGUGGAUGUCCUAGAAUCUGUAUUUUAUUAAAUUAGACAAUAUGGAGGCAUGUCAGGUGUGAGCAAAGGAUUGAUGUGUUCUACUGGACACAGAAAAAUUUCUUUUGGUGGCAGAACCGCUCACUGUCAAUACACUUUGAGAAAUCAUGCACAACAGCCAGAAGGCCAGGACAAGAGAAGGUGUUCCCAUUUUGCUAAAGGCCUGUGUUAUUUUUGACUUUCAAAUUUCAACCCAUCACAAAUUUCUGAAAAGCCUUCUUGUCUAAAAUGAUUAAUAUGGAAAUGUUUUACAUAACUGCCCAAAUAUAAUCUGUUUGCUUACUGAUUGCAAUCUUGACAGAAGGGAAGGGGAAGAAAUGAGGAAAUGAUAGGAUUCAGAACUCAAAACAUUAAAGAAAAAAUCUUUAAAAAUAUGUUUCUUCCCCACAGCAAAGAAAUUUCCAAGAAGAGAUCACAUAUAUUAGAGUUGCAGCAGCAGCAAAUUUCUUCAGUGCCAGGAAACUAAGAAAGAGUCAAGGCCUCCCAGGCGAAAAAUCCAACAAAUGUGGCAUGCCCUGGUGAAAAGAUUGCGCCCAAGGCGCAAUCAAGUGAGGCCAGAAGAGAGAUAUGCUGGGAGUGAUUGAAGAGGAGAGGAGAACAUUAAAGGACCUAAAAGGUAGGAGAGAUCAGUUCAAGGAUACAUUUAUAAUUUGGGUUCCACCAAGUUUUAUUUAGAGUCUAAUUGUAAGCCCUCUCCUGAAAACUGUUUCAUAUAUUGAGAAAGG